Molecule: ribosomal RNA, 133 nt
Filed under: uncultured bacterium
Lineage: Bacteria
Description: partial 16S ribosomal RNA
Rfam family: Bacterial small subunit ribosomal RNA
Source: RNAcentral
GAGGAAUUUUGCGCAAUGGGGGAAACCCUGACGCAGCAACGCCGCGUGAGUGAUGAAGGCUUUCGGGUCGUAAAGCUCUGUCAAGUGGGAAGAACUCAUAUGGUGUUAAUACUGCCAUAUGUUGACGGUACCA